GUUGCAUGAGUUGAAUAUGUUCACUUUCAAAGGACUUUAACUUACUUUGGUGAAGAAGUUCAGCUACUUUGCUUUCUGUGCCAAGCUGCAUUUGCCUAUACUGUUCUAAGAGUUGGUCAUACUUUCUUAAAGCAUCUCUUUCAGCAGUAACUGCUCUCUCUUUUUCAGCAACAGCAUUAUCUCUUGCUUCUCUCAAAUUUCUGUUUUCACGUUCAUACAUCUCUUUUGAAGCGCUUCGAAGUUGCUCAAUUUCUUGAUUAGUUUUCAAUCUUAUUUGUUCCAAUUCCUCCUGCAACCUCUUUUCAAAUUCUGUUUUAUAGUGGUCCCUGGAUGCAACAUAUUUUUC
This 346-nucleotide long non-coding RNA is filed under the name Gallus gallus (chicken). The record is from RNAcentral. Lineage: Eukaryota; Metazoa; Chordata; Aves; Galliformes; Phasianidae.